This 253-nucleotide ribosomal RNA is filed under the name uncultured bacterium. RNAcentral's name for it is "partial 16S ribosomal RNA". It matches the Rfam family "Bacterial small subunit ribosomal RNA", at positions 524 to 776 of the family's 1533-position model. The record is from RNAcentral.
UACGGGGGGGGCAAGCGUUGUUCGGAAUUACUGGGCGUAAAGGGCUCGUAGGCGGCCAACUAAGUCAGACGUGAAAUCCCUCGGCUCAACCGGGGAACUGCGUCUGAUACUGGAUGGCUUGAAUCCGGGAGAGGGAUGCGGAAUUCCAGGUGUAGCGGUGAAAUGCGUAGAUAUCUGGAGGAACACCGGUGGCGAAGGCGGGUCUCUGGGCAAUUCCUGACGCUGAGGCGCGAAAGCGUGGGGAGCAAACGGG